NCCUGCCCACUGAUUAAUUUAAUGGCCGCAGUAAUUUGACUGUGCAAAGGUAGCAUAAUCAUUAGUUUUUUAAUUGAAAGCUUGUAUGAAUGGUUGGACGAGAUAAAAUCUGUCUCUAUUUAAAUUAUUUUAGAAUUUUAUUUUUAAGUUAAAAGGCUUAAAUGUAUAUAAAAGACGAGAAGACCCUAUAGAUCUUUAUAUUUUUUUUAUAUAAUUUUAUUAAAGAAUUUUAUAAUUUUUAUAUAUAUAAGUAUUUUAUUGGGGUAAUAAAAAGAUUUAUUAAAUUCUUUUUUUUAUUUAAUAUAAAUUAAUAAAUAUUUGAUCUAAUUUAUUUUGAUUAUAAGAUUAAGUUACCUUAGGGAUAACAGCGUGAUUUUUUUUGAGAGUUCAUAUCGAUAAAAAAGUUUGCGACCUCGAUGUUGGAUUAAAAAUUAUUUUAGGUGUAGAAGUCUAAAAAAUUUGGUCUGUUCGACCAUUAAAUUUU
Molecule: ribosomal RNA, 484 nt
Filed under: Copelatus sp. 001VI491
Lineage: Eukaryota; Metazoa; Arthropoda; Insecta; Coleoptera; Dytiscidae
Also listed under: 1 other name
Description: partial 16S ribosomal RNA
Rfam family: Bacterial large subunit ribosomal RNA (bases 361-484)
Source: RNAcentral